Molecule: ribosomal RNA, 454 nt
Filed under: uncultured bacterium
Lineage: Bacteria
Description: SSU rRNA
Rfam family: Bacterial small subunit ribosomal RNA
Source: RNAcentral
AGGAUAAACGCUGGCGGCGUGCCUAACACAUGCAAGUCGAACGUCCUACGCAAGUAGGGAGUGGCGGACGGGUGAGUAACACGUGGGCAAUCUACCUUUCGGUGAGGAAUACCGGCGAGAAAUCGCCGACAAUACCGCAUACGCUUCGCAAGAAGCAAAGUCGCAAGACGCCGGAGGAGGAGCCUGCGCCCGAUUAGCUGGUUGGUGGAGUAAUGGUCUACCAAGGCGACGAUCGGUAGCUGGUCUGAGAGGAUGAUCAGCCACACUGGGACUGAGACACGGCCCAGACUCCUACGGGAGGCAGCAGUGGGGAAUCUUGCGCAAUGGGCGAAAGCCUGACGCAGCAACGCCGCGUGGGGGAUGAAGGCCUUCGGGUUGUAAACCCCUUUCACCAGGAGCGAAUCAAGACGGUACCUGGGGAAGAAGCGCCGGCUAACUACGUGCCAGCAGCCGC